This 1221-nucleotide long non-coding RNA is filed under the name Olea europaea subsp. europaea. The record is from RNAcentral. Lineage: Eukaryota; Viridiplantae; Streptophyta; Magnoliopsida; Lamiales; Oleaceae.
GCCAAAAAAAAAUGGGAAGAAAAAAAUUCUAGAGACAUAAAGGUUAAAAAUCCCUUCUCAAUUUCUUUUAGAUAGAUACGGAUGGAUACAAGUUGUUUCCAUCUUAAUAUCUAUUUUAUGAUUACAUUUAUUAUUCUUAUCAAAAGAAGCCAUACUGGAUGGAUGACACCAUUCUUGAACAAAAAUUCAUGGAAGUAUCCAUUGUGCUGUUAUCUCCUUGUUUGAUUUUGAUUAUUUGAAAAUCACUUCUCUCUCACACUCAUCUUUAACACUUUUUUUCCAAAAAAAGAAAAAAAAAAUCAUUUUUCACAUUUCUCCUUAACUUUUUCUUACUUUUAAUUACACAUUAAAAAAAAAAAAAACUCCUCGUAGUAUCACUUCUCAAUUUUUUUUAUUGAACACACCAAUAGAGGCAUUUUCCAUAAUUACGAAUUGAUAGCAAACUGGUGCAUGAUACACUAUCUCCGUUGAAGGUGACAGUUUUGUAAUGCUUUUGGGAUCGUUGAAGGUGACAAUUCUAGCAAGGGUCAUUCUGAUCAUGAAUUUUGUGUGAUUUCUGCUAUAGGGUGUGCUUUGACUCUAUUUGGUCAAUAGUAUUUUUUGGGUGGAAUGUUGGGAACCCAAGAGUAGGGUACAAGUGCCGCUUGUAGACGUUGUGCAGAGGAAAAUGUUUUUGUGGAAUGGAGAGUUUUAGCUCUGUUUGAAGAGUUCGGUUUAUUUCUCUGCAAUCUAAUUUAUUUUCCAGGUGAGGAAAUUUUGGAGUUUUGUUCGUUGCAGUGGAAUUCGUGUUAAGAUGGAGAUUGUUAGAAUUUGGGUGUAAUCCGAAUUUCUUGUUGAAAUAAUUAUAAAGUUCUAAUUGAAGUACAUGUCAAUAAGAAUUCUAAUUGGAAUGCUAUUGAGAAAUCCUAAACAAAUUUAAUUGACAAAUUCUAGUUAAAAUUCUAUUUGGAAGCUAUUGGAAGAUGAAAUUUGUCUUGGACUUGAUGAGAUCAAAUAAGGAAUCUUUUAGCAUUUUAUUUCAUCUACAACUUUACUUCUAGGGAUGAAUUUUUUCCUAUAAAUACUAGACUCUUUUUCUAAAUUUGUGAAACUUCGUUGCUAUAGUUGUAUUAUCUCCAUAUUGUUUAGAAUAAAACAUUGGUCCAUCUGCUUAACUCUUUUUUUUUUGUUUCUUUAUUUUAAUCUUAUUCUAUUAAUUGUGAUCUUAUAUAUUUCAUAUUA